GACGAACGCUGGCGGCGUGCUUAACACAUGCAAGUCGAACGGGAUUUGGUAGACAGAAGCCUCGGCUAAAGAUUACUAAUGAGAGUGGCGAACGGGUGAGUAACGCGUGAGCAACCUGCCUAUGACAGUGGGAUAGCCUCGGGAUACCGGGAUUAAUACCGCAUAAAAUCGUAGAAACACAUGUUUCAACGGUCAAAGAUUUAUCGGUCAUAGAUGGGCUCGCGUCUGAUUGGCUAGUUGGUGAGAUAACAGCCCACCAAGGCGACGAUCAGUAGACGGUCUGAGAGGAUGAACGGCCACAUUGGAACUGAGACACGGUCCAAACUCCUACGGGAAGCAGCAGUGGGGAAUAUUGCACAAUGGGGGAAACCAUGAUGCAGCGACGCCGCGUGAACGAAGAAGGUAUUAGUAUAGUAAAGUUCUGUCCUAUGGGAAGAUAAUGACAGUACCAUAGAAGAAAGCUCCGGCUAAAUACGUG
This 478-nucleotide ribosomal RNA is filed under the name uncultured bacterium. RNAcentral describes it as "partial 16S ribosomal RNA". It matches the Rfam family "Bacterial small subunit ribosomal RNA", at positions 28 to 507 of the family's 1533-position model. The record is from RNAcentral.